Long non-coding RNA from Heterocephalus glaber (naked mole-rat), 1333 nucleotides. RefSeq lists it as uncharacterized. The record is from RefSeq and is a predicted model, not a curated record. Lineage: Eukaryota; Metazoa; Chordata; Mammalia; Rodentia; Bathyergidae.
UCUGUCACACUACAGUCCAGGUGCCGUGUGCAUUGGUUACUGCACUCUCUUGAGUCUCGUGAUACAGAAAACACACACAACACAUUAGGCACAGCAUGUUUAAUACUUGAAGAUAGUCAUCAAGGGAGAGAGGAAUCGUGGGAUCCGUUGUAAAUCUGUGUCCCAAGACUCAGGAAGCUGCCUGUGAAUUGAGGCGUGGAGUGUGUGAGCCUCAUUUGCAUCACAGAUGAGGAUUCUAAGGGAACAAGAGAGCAAACACCCUUCCUGAAGUCUGCACAACUAUUUCCAUCCAGUCAUCCUACGGGCUGUGAAAAACCAGACAUGAGCUCUUCAAACAAAUUCACUUCCUGCCUGGCAGAGGUUAACUUUUGUCAGGAUCAAGUGUCUACUCUUGUAGGGUGGAAAUUCUCCACUGUCAGACUCCUGCACUGAGGCCUCCAGCCCUGAGGUCCUGCCCAGCCGUGUCUCAGCAGUUCAUAGAGGAGCUUCUCCUGCGCUCACUUCUAGGAAACUUAUCCUCUGAGAAUCUUUUCCUGACACCAUGAGGCUGCAUUCCGGUAAUUUCCACCAUAGCAGAACCUCACAGACUGCUCUGCCAUUUUGUGCAUCAUUGCCACAGCCUCCCAUGCAACAUCCACAUUACCAUGUUAUUCUCUAAAAUAUGCAUUUGUGAUGAUUGUUAGAGUAUUUUAAGUUAGAAAAUUCGGUAUUUGUGAUAAGAAAUUAAUAUUGAAUAUUUUAAAAUAUAGCUGGGAUAAACAUUUAUGUCUAGACAUGUGCUUUUGCAAAUAACUUACACAUUUGCAUUAAACAGAGUCAGUACUUUCUUAUGCUUACUACCUUAUGGUCAGAAAAUCUGAUAUUUUGAAAUUCAAAAUGUAAGAUUCAAAAUGUAGGUUGGAUUUUCAUAGUUUAUUUCUUUUUAUUCACCAAAUAAGUGACAGAUUAACUGGUUUCAUGUCCAAAUACCAAUUCAUGAAAAUAUAUACUAGUUUAGCAAAGAUAUAUAGAUUUAUCAAAGAAAAUUACUUUUUAUAUCAUUCAAACAGGAAAUUAAACACAGAUUUUUUUCAAAGCUGUAGAAAUGAAAAAAAAAUCUGGGAGAAUAAAGAAAAAGGAGAGAAAGAAUGGGAAGGAGGUAUCAGGAGCAAAGAAGGGGGGAAGAUGAGAGAGAGAGAGAGAGAGAGAGAGAGAGAGAGAGAGAGAGCACUACUGCAGAGACACAUACACCAAGUAUGCUUUGUUCCUUGUGAUUCUCUUAUUCAGUCAGUUCUUUCACAACCCAUGGCCCAGGGCUGAGAACUAGAUUUUUGCUGUUAUGUUCAAAACCAGU